UUAUAAUGAGUGAUUGAUUUAAGAUUGUAUGACUGUAAUUAAAAGUCCAGUGAUUGGGAUUGGCAAAUGGAUUCUGGUAGAUUACAUCACAUGACUUCUGGUAGGCUACAUCACAUGACUUCUGGUAGGCUACAUCACAUGACUUCUGGUAGAUUACAUCACAUGACUUCUGGUAGAUUACAUCACAUGACUUCUGGUAGACUACAUCACAUGACUUCUGGUAGACUACAUCACAUGACUUCUGGUGGACUACAUAAGACUCCUCACUCAAUACUUCCUGAGAAGUCACCAUUAUUUACUAUUUUACACUUGGGGUUAAUGUACAAAACAUUAACCUCCCCCCCGCAGUAUGGUUGAACUAACGUAGGCUAAUGUGAUUAGCAUGAGGUUGUAAGUAACUACAACCUUUCCCAGGACAUAGACAUAUCUGAUAUUGGCAGAAAGCUUAAAUUCUUGUUAAUCUAACUGCACUCUCCAAUUUACAGCAGCUAUUACAUUGAAAGAAUACCAUUCUAUUGUUUGAGGAGAGUGCACAAUUAUGAAAUUGAUAUUGUAUUAAUAAACCAAUUAGGCACAUUUGGGCAGUCAUGAUACAACAGGUUUAACAUAUAUGCAGUGGUUCAUUGGAUCAGUCUAAAACUUUUCACAUACACUGCUGCAAUCUAGUGUCCAAAACAUAAAUUGCGCCUGGGCUGGAAUAAUACACUGUGGCAUUUCUCUUGCAUUUCAAAGAUGGUACAAUUUAUUUUCAAAUCUUAAUAUUUUACCAGAUCUAAUGUGUGUACUCUCCUACAUCAAAUGCUUACUUACAAGACAUUAACCAACAGUGCAGUUCAAGAAGAGUUAAGAAAAUAUUCACCAAAUAAACUAAAGUAAAAAAAAAAAAAGUAAAAAUACUACCUGGGGGUGGCCCGUCAGAAAGUCCAGGACCCAAUUGCACAAGGCAGGGUCGAGACCCAGGGUCUCAAGCUUAAUGAUGAGCUUGGAGGGUACUAUGGUGUUGAAUGCUGAGCUGUAGUCAAUGAAAAGCAUUCAACCGUACAGUUGAAGUCGGAAGUUUACAUACAUUUAGGUUGGAGUCAAUAAAACUCAUUUUUCAACCACUCUACAAAUUUCUUGUUAACAAACUAUAGUUUUGGCAAGUCGGUUAGGACAUCUACUUAGUGCAUGACACAAGUCAUUUUUCCAAAAAUUGUUAACAGAUCGAUUAUUUCACUUAUAAUUCACUGUAUCACAAUUCCAGUGGGUCAGAAGUUUACAUAUACUAAGUUGACAGUGCCUUUAAACAGCUUGGAAAACUCUGGAAAAUUAUGUCAUGGCUUUAGAAGCUUCUGAUAGGCUAAUUGACAUCAUUAGAGUCAAUUGGAGGUGUACCUGUGGAUGUAUUUCAAGGCCUACCUUCAAACAUGUAGAUGACAUCACAUUACUUCUGGUGGACUACAUCAAACAUAUUUGCUUGACACGGAAAAUCAAAUGAAAUUAGACAAGACCUCAGAAAAAUAUUUGUAGACCUCCACAAGUCUGGUUCAUCCUUGGGAGCAAUUUCCAAACCCCUGACGGUACCACAUUCAUCUGUACAAACAAUAGUACGCAAGUAUAAAUACCAUGGGACCACGCAGCCAUCAUACCGCUCAGGAAGGAGACGUGUUCUGUCUCCUAGAGAUUAACGUAUUUUGGUGCGAAAAGUGCAAAUAAAUCCCAGAACAACAGCAAAGGACCUUGUGAAGAUGCUGUAGGAAACAAGUACAAAAGUAUCUAUAUCCACAGUAAAACGAGUCCUAUAUUGACAUAACCUGAAAGGCCGCUCAGCAAGGUAGAAGCCACUCCUCCAAAACAGCAUAAAAAAGCCAGACUACGGUUUACAACUGCACAUGGAGACACAAAGACCGUACUUUUUGGAGAAAUGUCCUCUGGUCUGAUGAAACAAAAAUAGAACUGUUUGGCCACAAUGACCAUUGUUAUGUUUGGAGGGAAAAGGGGGAGGCUUGCAACCUGAAGAACUCCAUCCCAACCGUGAAGCACGGGGGUGGCAGCAUCAUAUUGUGGGGGUGCUUUGCUACAGGAGGGACUGAUGCACUUCCCAAAAUAGAUGGCAUCGUGAGGCAGGAAAAUAAUGUGGAUAUAUUGAAGCAACAUCUCAAGACAUCAGUCAGGAAGUUAAAGCUUGGUGGCAAAUGGGUCUUCCAAAUGGACAAUGACCCCAAGCAUACUUCCAAAGUUGUGGCAAAUUGGCUGAAGGACAACAAAGUCAAGUUAUUGGAGUAACCAUCACAAAGCCCUGACCUCAAUCUUAUAGAAAAUGUGUGGGCAGAACUGAAAAAGCGUGUGCGAGCAAGGAGGCCUACAAACCUGACUCAGUUACACCAGCUACCCUGAAACAUUUGACCCAAGUUAAACAUUUUAAAGGCAAUGCUACCAAAUACUAAUUGAGAGUAUGUGAACUUCUGACCCACUGGGAAUGUGAUGAAAGAAAUUAAAGCUGAAAUAAUUCAUUCUCUCUACUAUUAGGACUGUGUCAGGAAUUGUGAAAAACUGAGUUUAAAUGUAUUUGAUUAAGGUGCAUGUAAACUUACGACUUCAACUGUAGCACAGUUACAGGAAUAACCAGUCGUGUUCAACCCCCAGACAGGGGUAUUUCUAAUGGUGUCUUAUGAACCAGAGUACAUAUAGAGAUCACUAGUUUUGCUGACUAUUUAUUUAUUUAUUAAACUUGGCAAGUCAGUUAAGAACAAAUUCUUAUUUUCAAUGACGGCCUACAAACAGUGGGUUAACUGCCUGUUCAGGGGUAGAACAACAGAUUUGUACCUUGUCAGCUCGGGGGUUUGAACUUGCAACCUUCUGGUUACUAGUCCAAUGUUCUAACCACUAGGCUACCCUGCCACUAUCCGGAAAUGUAUAAUGGCCACACAAUUCUCAAUAAAUGUCCUUCCCUACAAGCACGCUGAAAGCCUGUCAAUUUGUAAAAUAGCAUUGUAUCUGGUCAAACUCAAAUGUUUUCGAACUUUGCGUAAUGAACAUGAGGGGAGGCAGGUAGCUGGGUCAGGCAGAAGGUCACACACAGGUAGCUGGGUCAGGCAGAAGGUCACACACAGGUAGCUGGGUCAGGCAGAAGGUCACACACAGGUAGCUGGGUCAGGCAGAAGGUCACACACAGGAGGAGGCAGGUAGCUGGGUCAGGCAGAAGGUCACACACAGGAGGAGGCAGGUAGCUGGGUCAGGCAGAAGGUCACACACAGGAGGAGGCAGGUAGCUGGGUCAGGCAGAAGGUCACACACAGGAGGAGGCAGGUAGCUGGGUCAGGCAGAAGGUCACACACAGGAGGAGGCAGGUAGCUGGGUCAGGCAGAAGGUCACACACAGGAGGAGGCAGGUAGCUGGGUCAGUACAGGCAGAAGGUCACACACAGGAGGAGGCAGGUAGCUGGGUCAGUACAGGCAGAAGGUCACACACAGGAGGAGGCAGGUAGCUGGGUCAGUACAGGCAGAAGGUCACACACAGGAGGAGGCAGGUAGCUGGGUCAGUACAGGCAGAAGGUCACACACAGGAGGAGGCAGGUAGCUGGGUCAGUACAGGCAGAAGGUCACACACAGGAGGAGGCAGGUAGCUGGGUCAGUACAGGCAGAAGGUCACACACAGGAGGAGGCAGGUAGCUGGGUCAGUACAGGCAGAAGGUCACACACAGGAGGAGGCAGGUAGCUGGGUCAGUACAGGCAGAAGGUCACACACAGGAGGAGGCAGGUAGCUGGGUCAGUACAGGCAGAAGGUCACACACAGGAGGAGGCAGGUAGCUGGGUCAGUACAGGCAGAAGGUCACACACAGGAGGCAGGUAGCUGGGUCAGUACAGGCAGAAGGUCACACACAGGAGGAGGCAGGUAGCUGGGUCAGUACAGGCAGGUCAUACACAGGAGGAGGCAGGUAGCUGGGUCAGUACAGGCAGAAGGUCACACAGGAGGAGGCAGGUAGCUGGGUCAGUACAGGCAGAAGGUCACACACAGGAGGAGGCAGGUAGCUGGGUCAGUACAGGCAGAAGGUCACACAGGAGGAGGCAGGUAGCUGGGUCGGGCAGAAGGUCACACACAGGAGGAGGCAGGUAGCUGGGUCGGGCAGAAGGUCACACACAGGAGGAGGCAGGUAGCUGGGUCGGGCAGAAGGUCACACACAGGAGGAGGCAGGUAGCUGGGUCGGGCAGAAGGUCACACACAGGAGGAGGCAGGUAGCUGGGUCGGGCAGAAGGUCACACACAGGAGGCAGGUAGCUGGGUCAGUACAGGCAGAUAAAAGGCACAUAGUCCGGGAGAUCAGGCAAUAGGUAGACAGGCUAAAGUACAGCCAGGCAAUAGGUAGACAGGCUAAAGUACAGCCAGGCAAUAGGUAGACAGGCUAAAGUACAGCCAGGCAAUAGGUAGACAGGCUAAAGUACAGCCAGGCAAUAGGUAGACAGGCUAAAGUACAGCCAGGCAAUAGGUAGACAGGCUAAAGUACAGCCAGGCAAUAGGUAGACAGGCUAAAGUACAGGCAGGCAAUAGGUAGACAGGCUAAAGUACAGGCAGGGAAUAGGUAGACAGGCUAAAGUACAGGCAGGGAAUAGGCAAAGUUAGUGAGGCAGGCAAAAACUAUGAUACACAGGAGGAGUAAAAUCACUAGAAAACUAGCGCUCUGAAUAGAUGUGUGUCAAAAACAAACAAUACCUCACAGUGAUGGGGUGCAAAGAACUGAACUAAAUAGUGUGUGAUAAUGACAUGCAGGUGUGUGACCAGGUGAUCAGAAUUCAGGUGAUUGGGAUCUGGAGAGUGAGCUGCGUUCAGGGGAGCUAUGUGUUUGAGAAUGUGAGCUGGAAGCAGAGGUAACACUGUGGUUUUCCGAGAUAUGCCUACUAUAUUGUGAUCACUACAUCCAAAGGAUUUGGUAGAGCAUGGCGCUUGUAACGCCAGGGUAGUGGAUUCGAUUCCCGGGACCACCCAUACGUAGAAUGUAUGCACACAUGACUGCCUGUAAGUCGCUUUGGAUAAAAGCGUCUGCUAAAUGGCAUAUAUUAUUAUUAUUAUUAUUCAA
Molecule: long non-coding RNA, 5051 nt
Organism: Oncorhynchus keta (chum salmon)
Lineage: Eukaryota; Metazoa; Chordata; Actinopteri; Salmoniformes; Salmonidae
Exons: 3
Source: RefSeq, a predicted model, not a curated record